Regulatory RNA element from Staphylococcus sp. HGB0015, 100 nucleotides. It matches the Rfam family "TPP riboswitch aptamer (THI element)". From Rfam's summary of the family: Vitamin B(1) in its active form thiamin pyrophosphate (TPP) is an essential coenzyme that is synthesised by coupling of pyrimidine and thiazole moieties in bacteria. The previously detected thiamin-regulatory element, thi box was extended, resulting in a new, highly conserved RNA secondary structure, the THI element, which is widely distributed in eubacteria and also occurs in some archaea. Analysis of operon structures identified a large number of new candidate thiamin-regulated genes, mostly transporters, in various prokaryotic organisms. The record is from Rfam. NCBI's taxonomy places the organism in Bacteria, Bacillati, Bacillota, Bacilli, Caryophanales, Staphylococcaceae.
CGCACGCACUAGGGGUGUGAAAGCUGAGAUGAGGAUAAGCCUCGAACCCUUUGAACCUGAACUAGAUGAUACUAGCGUAGGAAAGUGUUUCAUUUAUAAU